This 601-nucleotide ribosomal RNA is filed under the name Bacillus sp. CH181b_5D. RNAcentral's name for it is "bacterial SSU rRNA". It matches the Rfam family "Bacterial small subunit ribosomal RNA", at positions 49 to 632 of the family's 1533-position model. The record is from RNAcentral. Lineage: Bacteria; Bacillati; Bacillota; Bacilli; Caryophanales; Bacillaceae.
CUAUACUGCAGUCGAGCGAAUGGAUUAAGAGCUUGCUCUUAUGAAGUUAGCGGCGGACGGGUGAGUAACACGUGGGUAACCUGCCCAUAAGACUGGGAUAACUCCGGGAAACCGGGGCUAAUACCGGAUAACAUUUUGAACCGCAUGGUUCGAAAUUGAAAGGCGGCUUCGGCUGUCACUUAUGGAUGGACCCGCGUCGCAUUAGCUAGUUGGUGAGGUAACGGCUCACCAAGGCAACGAUGCGUAGCCGACCUGAGAGGGUGAUCGGCCACACUGGGACUGAGACACGGCCCAGACUCCUACGGGAGGCAGCAGUAGGGAAUCUUCCGCAAUGGACGAAAGUCUGACGGAGCAACGCCGCGUGAGUGAUGAAGGCUUUCGGGUCGUAAAACUCUGUUGUUAGGGAAGAACAAGUGCUAGUUGAAUAAGCUGGCACCUUGACGGUACCUAACCAGAAAGCCACGGCUAACUACGUGCCAGCAGCCGCGGUAAUACGUAGGUGGCAAGCGUUAUCCGGAAUUAUUGGGCGUAAAGCGCGCGCAGGUGGUUUCUUAAGUCUGAUGUGAAAGCCCACGGCUCAACCGUGGAGGGUCAUUGGAAA